CCUACGGGUGGCAGCAGUGGGGGAUAUUGCACAAUGGGGGAAACCCUGAUGCAGCGACGCCGCGUGGGUGAAGAAGCGCCUCGGCGCGUAAAGCCCUGUCAGCAGGGAAGAAAAUGACGGUAACUGAAGAAGAAGCCCCGGCUAACUACGUGCCAGCAGCCGCGGUAAUACGUAGGGGGCAAGCGUUAUCCGGAUUUACUGGGGGUAAAGGUGGCGCAGACGGCGAUGCAAGCCAGGAGUGAAAGCCCGGGGCCCAACCCCGGGACUGGUCUUGGAACUGCGGGGCUAGAGUGCAGGAGGGGCAGGCGGAAUGCCUGGUGUAGCGGUGAAAUGCGUAGAGAUCAGGAGGAACACCGGUGGCGAAGGCGGCCUGCUGGACUGCAACUGACGUUGAGGCCCGAAAGCGUGGGGAGCAAACAGGAGUAGAUACCCUUGUAGUC
Molecule: ribosomal RNA, 440 nt
Filed under: uncultured bacterium
Lineage: Bacteria
Description: partial 16S ribosomal RNA
Rfam family: Bacterial small subunit ribosomal RNA
Source: RNAcentral